AGAAUGAACGCUGGCGGCGUGGUUAAGACAUGCAAGUCGAACGGUUUUGUUGUGUAGCAAUACAUAACAAAAGCAGUGGCGAACGGGUGCGUAACACGUGAACAAUCUACCUUCAAAUGGGGAAUAGCUCGCCGAAAGGCGAAUUAAUACCGCAUGUGGUUGCUUCUCGCAUGAGAGGCAUACCAAAGUCAGGGACCGCAAGGCCUGACGUUAGAAGAGGAGUUCGCGGCCUAUCAGCUAGUUGGCGAGGUAACGGCCCACCAAGGCGACG
This 271-nucleotide ribosomal RNA is filed under the name uncultured bacterium. Its description in RNAcentral is "partial small subunit ribosomal RNA". It matches the Rfam family "Bacterial small subunit ribosomal RNA", at positions 26 to 278 of the family's 1533-position model. The record is from RNAcentral.